RNAcentral lists this ribosomal RNA (143 nucleotides) under uncultured bacterium. RNAcentral's name for it is "partial 16S ribosomal RNA". It matches the Rfam family "Bacterial small subunit ribosomal RNA", at positions 338 to 498 of the family's 1533-position model. The record is from RNAcentral.
CCUACGGGAGGCAGCAGUGGGGAAUAUUGGACAAUGGGCGAAAGCCUGAUCCAGCCAUGCCGCGUGAGUGAUGAAGGCCCUAGGGUUGUAAAGCUCUUUUGUGCGGGAAGAUAAUGACGGUACCGCAAGAAUAAGCCCCGCCU